UGUAGGAGCUCCGUGGAAUGAAGCUGCUGUACUGAACUGAUUUUUGUUUAAACAGAACCGGAGGAGACGCUGAAAGUGCAGUCGUUUCCAUGCCAGGCUGCAAGUUCAGUUUUUCUACACGGUGAAGUGUCUGUUGUGUUCAUAAGAUCUUGGAUUCAACAAUAACACCUCAUCUAUGCUGAGGCAUUAUGGAGCCCUGGAUGAAAAAAAAGGACACCAACCAAGGUGGACCAAGCUCAGAUGCUUCAUCAGCAGUGUCUCCUAAUACCAUCCACUUAUAAGCACAGUGUGGAUGGGAUCAUAAUGGAAUAUAAAGGCACAAGGGCUGGAACUCUUCAUCAGUAUAUUGCCAACAAGCCAGACAAGUGAACAAGACAAGGGGCUUUAAAUCCUGCUGAGCCAGCUCAUCUGGCAUCAUCCGUGACAGAAACAAGUAUCUCUCAAAAGGUUCCGCUUAGCAGUGGCCCUCAGUUUGAACCAAAUCAACACACCAGCAGGCAAAGUUGGCUGACCAUCAUUAUCCUUUCCUCUGCCUCAAAAGAAACACUAUAUCCCAAGCAUUCCCAAGUGUACAUCCCCUGAAUGGAAACCAGGAAUGCUUUGUUGCAUACCACCAAAAAUGCAGUGGACUUAAUGUUCCAAAAGCAUUUGUACUGAUGUACCACCACCACAUAGAUCACAUAG
Long non-coding RNA from Archocentrus centrarchus (flier cichlid), 684 nucleotides. RefSeq lists it as uncharacterized. The transcript has 4 exons. Lineage: Eukaryota; Metazoa; Chordata; Actinopteri; Cichliformes; Cichlidae. The record is from RefSeq and is a predicted model, not a curated record.